This 5434-nucleotide long non-coding RNA is filed under the name Coffea arabica (coffee). RNAcentral's name for it is "long non-coding RNA (CARA_LNC000355)". The record is from RNAcentral. Lineage: Eukaryota; Viridiplantae; Streptophyta; Magnoliopsida; Gentianales; Rubiaceae.
AGUCUCGCACCCUUUUUUACACUCUUUCCUCAGUCGUAGGACUAGUUUUUCACACUUCGCCAAUUCACUUCUCUCAUUCAUUCAUUCCUUUUUUACGUCCCAUCAUUUUACUUCUUCUGCCCCCCUUCUCUGCCCCCUUUCUUCCCCGAAAACGCUCUCCUUCUCACAUGUCAAAAACAAAGUACGAAUUUUCUGUUUAUCUAAGAAAAGAAAGACCCCUCCAAACUCCAUCAGCCUAAGCUCUGAAUACAGAAAAUUUCCAUUCCUCACGCAAGAAAAACAAGUACUACUAAUAUACUUGACGCACGGAAUAGGAAGGAAACCAAGAAACAUUCACCAUCACCACCGCUGCCACCACUCUACAUUAUUGUGUGUGCAAAACACAAACAAAUACUACUCGCUUCUGUUACAUCUUCUGCGGAUAGAAAAAGAAAGAAGGGCUAUAUGCAUCAUCCACACAUGAUCCUUCUAUCAAAUUCAAGAAGAGUUCAAAACCCUACCCACAUCAUCAUCCUGCAAUCUUAAGGUGGCCUUCGCCACAGAUCAUCAUUUCUUAGAUUCUGGGUCUUUUUGGUGGAUGGAUUCAGCCUCUGGAGGACCGGACUUGAGCGGGGGAGGAGAGGCCGGGCCAUCAUCAGCCAGCGGGAGUGGUAGCGCCGAAGGUGUAGGCGGGUCAACGGCUGCGCCACCCAGUCGUUACGAGUCGCAAAAGCGGCGAGAUUGGAACACUUUCCUGCAGUACCUCAGGAACCACAAGCCGCCGCUGACACUAGCUCGGUGUAGCGGAGCGCACGUGAUCGAGUUCUUGAAGUACUUGGAUCAGUUCGGAAAAACUAAGGUGCACGUGGCCGGGUGCCCUUAUUUCGGGCACCCUAAUCCACCAGCCCCAUGCCAGUGCCCGCUCAAGCAAGCUUGGGGCAGUCUUGACGCCCUCAUAGGACGCCUUAGAGCUGCCUACGAAGAAAACGGUGGAAGACCCGAAUCCAACCCUUUUGGUGCUAGAGCUGUUAGGAUUUAUCUCAGGGAAGUAAGGGAAAGCCAGGCCAAGGCUAGAGGGAUACCUUACGAGAAGAAGAAACGAAAAAGGCCGGCUGCUACGGCCGUGCCCGCUGUGUCGGUGGCUGCGAGUGAUGUUGGAGCUAGUAGUAGUGGCGGUGGGGAUGUAGGAGGAGGAGGAGGAGGUGAUGGUGGUAGUGGUGGCGGGCCUGGAGGUACUCCUACUACUGUGGUUGUUACCACGACAACAGUAUAGCAAAUUUUAUUACUACCAGCAGUACGUCAUUUCCAAUUUUUUUUUUUUAAUAUAAAAAUUUCCCCCAUUUUCUAGACUAAUUGUGUGCCUUCUAAUUGCGACUAUGAGGCUAUCUCGAAUUUCUUAUUGCACUAAAACUGCAAGAAGGAACGUCGGUCGGUGGAAAUUAUUUUGAUCAAUUGUGCUUUUAAGUUAAAAUUUUAGAACGAGGCAGCUGAAGUACGCAUGCAUUAUUUUGCCCAAAAAAAACAAAACAUAAAGGCGCAUAUAGAUAUAUUAAUUAAAGUGUGUUUCAUUCUCUUGCUGCCAACACUUCGUUUCCGGCUUUCUCCUCUUGCAUUACGUGUGUCAUGCUGAUUUUCCCUAUUUAGUUGUUUCUUUUUGUUUUGGGUACAUAGAUAGCCCUUUUGUUUUUUCAUGGCAACCAAGACAAUAUCCGGAAGGAGCUAGGAUACAGACCAGUGGUACUUCUCCAUCCUUUUUCUUCUAUUGUCUAGUGUAUAACUAACAAACUAUAUGGCAUUCUUCAUACUGGUCGAUGUCCUGCGGUGAGUGGGGUUGGGCUUCUCUCAUCAUUGAGGUAUGUGCAAUUGUUCAAAUAUGCAUGUCUACAAAUCAAUAAUAAUAAUGUCUGUUCUAUUUUUUGCCAUUUCACAACAUUACACAUUCUCGUAGGAGUCCAUGCCAAGAGCAAAUGCUGAUAAGCCAAGGGCAUAGGCUAUCAAGUAACGAGUAAUUUAUUACUAUCAUUUUUUCGCCCUUUAGGAAAACUCCGCAUGAUUUUUAACACCAUCUAUAAAAUUGACAGAAAAUGGUACCUACUCAACACAUUCCUGAUCCCAAGAUACUCCUGGCAGAAGUCUUAGAGAAUUGAACCUGCUAAAGUGGCCUUGGAAUUUGAUUUUAUUCUGGGAAUGUAGGCACUAGUAGGUACUACUAGAACACUUAUGAUUCAUUCUGUUUUUCUCUCUGUCCAUGUUAAAGAGUGGUGUUUUGUAUCCCUCUUCCUCUUAGUUGGUCAGGGGUCUGCCCCAAUGUUUGUGCUUCGCUACAUAAAGAAGAUUAGUUUCAGGGUUUUCAAAUGGAAGCGACAGCGUAUGUGCAUAUAAACACACACAAUGACAAUAGGGACGGGAACAGCACUCAAAUAACUACGAGCAAGUAAACUACACUGUCUUCGGGCUCCAGGUAGUGGUAGACUGGUACUUACUCGAGGUACUGUUCUUCUUUGGUCCCCCAUUUAACUGGACGCUUCGGAUGCUGGGAUACCACACCCCAAGCAAGGGCCAUGAAAUCUACUUGUAGUUAAGCACACGUGGGUCUGGCAUUUGAUACAUAAGAGCACUUUACUUUCAGCUUUCAGGUGCCUUCUUUAUGUCCUACUUACUGAUCGAUCCAACAUUUCCUUUUUCAGGUUUUAGGUUCUUGAUUUUGCCCCUUUGGGUGUUUAAAAAAUCCAAACUUACGGAUCCUCGGGCAAGGCUGGCUUGCUUGUAAAGUGUUUGUUUCCAACAUCGUUAGAGUCAGGAUUCGGUCCUUUUAACUCGAUAUUUUGUACCAGCUGAUUGCGUUUCUGGGGUACGAGUUCGACCUUCACCCUGGUUAAAAUUUUGAUGGAAUCUCAAAAGAGUUCAGAAACAUCCCCGAGUCUUGCCUUUCUUGCACUGUUUCUGGACACGGUCGUUCAACUCAUCCUACACUUAUCAGCAGUCUCGUUUGCAAAACCUAAAUGGCCCUUCGUCAUGAAUGAAUUUAAUGAGUCUAGAUAGUGAGAGGAAACAGCAGGUUUACAUGGUCAGGAUCUAUUGCAUUCUGCCUCUCCCCCGGCCCCUUUCCUUUUUGGACAAUUCUCAUUGCUCAUCUGUUUGAAAAGGAUGGAGAAAAAAAAAAGAGAGUACUUAUCUCUUUGGGUGAUAUUAUAACUGCAAUCGGAAACUAACAGGGAGGAAAAAAGAGAAAGAAUAAAAGGAUGCAAGGGGAAUCUAGAAGAACAAACGAUAGACAUAGGGUGAAAGCAUGAUUGAAAUGGAAAAACGAGAUGGAGUGACGCUACUUUUGUUUAGAGAAACCUCCACAUCAGAAAGAAAAGGACUAGCAGCCAACCAUUGUCUGCUUUUUUGAAAUCAAGUAUUAUUAUAUAUGCGUGCAAUCUAAAUUAUUGUAUCUUUAUAAUUCAAUCCAAAAUAGACCCACCACCAAUCACACUCCCAAACAAUCCUGCGAAUCCGGUUCUGAAAAUCAGAACGAGUAAUAAAUCUUCUCCAAUUAACAUCUUGUACGCAAUUAAUUGAUCUACCCCACACCUUGAUGCAAGAUGUUAUCCAAGACACUACUACUAUUUUCUGGUUGUUGGCAGCUGACUCUCAUUUCUUAUUGAGAAGCUAUAAUGCACUUUGCUCCCUAAAGUUUGCUCUGGUUUCAUUUCCGUCCCCUAAACUAUCACUAAUUGUGGCAAUUAAUCAUCAAUUAUUGGACCAUGCGAAAAUACAUGAACGGAUUCAUGAACGGAAAUCCUUGAGAUUUUCUAUUUAGGGCAAAAAGGAGGAGCAAUCCGGACAAAUAGUUUAGGUUGUUGCAGCAUAGACAGGUGGAACAAAAGUUUGACGGAAAAUACUUUAGGCUGCUGGAGCAAUGCUAUGCUGUUCGGUCCAUCUAUCUCCCCUGCCUGAUAGAGCCGUAACUCAUUAAUUAGCGGACAAUUGCACUGCUCAACUCAUAGAGCCAAUCUGAAUGCCAUUAACUACUAUGACCCUAGGGAACUAAUUACUAGAAUCUAAUUCUCGAAUACAUUUUACCGAGUUAUGUGCUGCCCAAAAAAAAAAAAAAUUGCAAGAAAAGAAAAUAUCAUGUUCUUUUUGCAAUAACGAACUUUGACUUAGACGAGGCGUAAUGUCACCUUAAUUGGCAAACUUUACCAACUUAAUUUUGUAAGUGAUGUAACGUCACCUUUUUAAAGGUAAAGGAUGUAAAAUUUUAUUUAGCGAAAUGUGAGGGACGUUUUGAACAUUUUUUUUUCUUAUUUGGAGUAUUAUUUGAAAUAUCAUUUAGGCUAUUAUUUGAAGUAGUUAUUAUAAAAUAAAAAAGACAGUUGGGAACAUAAACCAAAAAGAGUUAAAAGCGUGUUUCUGAUGUAAAUAAAAUAAAAUUUGAUAUAAUAAUUUCGUAUCCAGAAUACAUUUUGAUACAAAUUUUAGAUAAUUUGUGUCAAAAGAAAACUACACUAAGCUUUAUGCAGCUAGUAUAUAGUAUCUUACCUAGUGUAAGUCAGUUGCUCAAUCAUUUAUAAAAUAUAUAUAUAUAUAUAUUUACUUGUAUUACAAAUAUAGUUUUAAUCUCACAUACAUCACAUUACAAAAAGUAUUACCGUAAUAAUUUAAAUUCUUUUUUUCAAAUGAUCUUCUAUUCAAGCAACCUCGUUGAUGAGCUAUCGAGUUGAUUUUGUCGUAACUUUGUUUAGAUAAAGUUGGCAAAUUGUUUCAUUAUUCCUUGCAAUUUUGUGAUUUAAAAAAAAAAAAAAAAAAAAACUGCGUAGGUAUGCAUAUUUGUCGUUACUCGAGCAGCCAGGGCCUGUGGAGUACUCCAAUUGACAAGCGAGAAAUAAACAGGAAGAGUGCGUGUGAAUGAAGCUGCACCGAGUAGUCUUGUCUGUGGUUGAAAGCUGUGUGUUAUCGACGUAUGGUCUGUUCUGAAAGCAAUUUUGUAUGAAAAUCUGCACAAAAAAAAAAAAAAAAAAUCUUGAAAUAGAAUAAGAGUAUAUCUGCUCCAUCAAAGGAAUCACGUUAGUCCGGCGGCAGCAAAUAACCAUUUCUUGAUUUUAUACAUGGCUGGGGAUCUUCUUCUUCUGGUAGACGCGGGGACGAAUCCGAUCGAGGCUUCAGCACAGAAAUUGAAAAAACGUUGAAUGUCUCCUGGCAUCUUUUGCUUUCACAGCACAGUACUCGGCUAAAAAUGGCAUCCUACCGUAACAUUUCAUUGGCAGUUGGGAUUGGUGCAGAAAAGUCACGGCACGGUGAUUGGAUAGGAUCUGUGAAGAAAAUAAACGAAGCAAAAGGCAGAAAGAAAAAAAAAAAAGAACAUAGAACAGAAGGAUUGUACAAAAAAUUCCCUCCGCACUGGAAAGAAACAAAGAGACGACUGGUUAAAUUAAAGCCUUGUAAAAUCUCCCACAAACUGUAACUCUGC